This is a long non-coding RNA of Talpa occidentalis (Iberian mole), 502 nucleotides long. RefSeq lists it as uncharacterized. NCBI's taxonomy places the organism in Eukaryota, Metazoa, Chordata, Mammalia, Eulipotyphla, Talpidae. The record is from RefSeq and is a predicted model, not a curated record. The transcript has 3 exons.
AUAAGAGAAAGGUUAUUCAACUUUUCCACCAUCACUUAACAAAGGAAUAGCUAAGCCAGGACUCAGAUUCAGGACUCUGUCUCCGUAUUUUUUGAAUCUACAGAGAGUGGCGAUGAUGCAGAAUUUUAGGUUUUGCUGUCCCAGGAAAGACAACUGCAUUCCAGAGAUAGUUUCGACCCUCACUCCACCCUCGCCCUCCGGUCACCAAUGAGGGCAAACUUGUUGCAAUUGGAGCUGCAGGCUGGAGCUGCAUCUCGACCAGGCCAGUCAGCUUAGAAUUAUAGCUGGGCAAAGUUGGAGAACGCAUCCUUGUAGCCAAUGAGUAACUGCCAGCAUGAUUUGACCUUAUAAAAGACCCCUGCUUCCUCUGGAUACCUGCUGCUACAUUGGAAGGUGCUGUGAGCCUGGACUCGACUGUCACUGUUCAGGAGCAAGAUGUGACUCAGUCCUUAAUGUGUCUCCACCUCAUCCUGGCCCGACUGAACCUCAAAACUACUCACUG